Molecule: non-coding RNA, 952 nt
Organism: Parasteatoda tepidariorum (common house spider)
Lineage: Eukaryota; Metazoa; Arthropoda; Arachnida; Araneae; Theridiidae
Source: RefSeq, a predicted model, not a curated record
AAUAAAAUAUUUAUUUUCAUAACCAUCAAGUUUAUAGCAACGACUUAAUAUGCUCUUCGAAUAUUAAGACAAAUAUAAAGCCCUAAUAAUUCCGUCUACAUCAAACCUAGGCUCAAUUGUUAACUUCGCCAAUAUUACUAAGCCAAAUUAUUACCGCCAAUCCCCUUUCAAUUUCAAUGACAAAAACUUGGUAUUAGAAGUAGUAAGAUUUGUUUUUCUUUGAAUGAAAUUGCAUUUCUCAUUACAAAAACAAAACCCCUAUACGAAAAAAAAAAGAACAAUAAAGAAACCUCGAUUUGUAUUCAGGUGUUUAAUGAAGUGUCAAAUACGGCAAUCCUGUUUUCCUGUAGCAUUGAAAUAAUUCCGCUUGUAUCUAUUGUUUUGUUGGCGACUUUUGAUUCAUGGCGCAAUGUCCGUGAAGCGUUAUUUCUAAUUUUUCAUUGAUGUGGAAAAGGAGCUGUUUUAAGUCUUACGGCAUUUUACACAGCUACUCGUAUACAUAUUUAACUAAAAUUUGAGAAGACUAUCGUAUUACUGAAAUUAUGGGAUAUUUUUUCUUCAUCCUUGAAUGUUUGUGAAAUCUUACUGUACUGUGAUUUGCUAUGAAUAAUUUAAGUCUCACUAUGUAAAAUGGAUUAAAAAAAUUGUUAAAGAUGACUGCUGGCAGCUCCCAAUACAACUCGACGAAGAUUGAAGAAGUGUCUCAACUUAUCGAAGAAAAAAAUAUCGAAAAUAGUUUUUAUAUAGAAGGACUUGUUGGUAUAUCGAUAUGCAGCUUGGUGAUUAUUGCUCUCAUUGCUGUUUUGUUAUAUUAUAUCAUCCCUUGGCAUAAGUGACUGCUUAAAAAAAUGAACAUUUGCAAAGACAUCAUGCUUCAUCUGACUUGCUCAUCAUUUAAAAUAAUUCAAUACCAUUUGAAAUGAUUGCUAUAAAAUAAAGUGCUUAAAAAUUG